Molecule: long non-coding RNA, 412 nt
Filed under: Brassica napus (rape)
Lineage: Eukaryota; Viridiplantae; Streptophyta; Magnoliopsida; Brassicales; Brassicaceae
Description: long non-coding RNA (BNAP_LNC017438)
Source: RNAcentral
AGUUUAGAGUUGAUGUUUAGGGGUUUAGGGUUUAGAGUUGAUGUUCCGUGGUUUAGGAUUUAGAGCUGAUGAUUUAUGGUUUAGGGUUGAUGUUUUAAAUUUAGAUUAGUUAACUUUACGUUAUUUUUUGUUUAAUUCAAGGGUUAAUAAAAGAACAUGAAAGAGUUUAAAUCUUGUCAUAGAUAUAGAUAUGGUUGAAAUUAACUUAUUUUAAAUUGAAGUUAUGAUUAUAAACAGAAGUUCCGAAACUAUUUGUUGUAAUUUAGGUUUAACUUAGAGAAAAAUAUCAUAUAAAAUUACCAACAAAACAAUAUAAAAUAAUAUAUUUGGUAUAUAUGCCCUUUAAGUUUUACAAAUAAAACAUGAUGUCCUAAGGUAAUGUUUGAAUUUUUCUUUAAUAGAACGCUCUGCA